Molecule: long non-coding RNA, 962 nt
Organism: Cucumis melo (muskmelon)
Lineage: Eukaryota; Viridiplantae; Streptophyta; Magnoliopsida; Cucurbitales; Cucurbitaceae
Exons: 3
Source: RefSeq, a predicted model, not a curated record
UCUACCGAUUAUUUAAAAGAUUCCAUCUAAAUUUUAAAAGAUCUAAAAUAAGUAAUUUUUGUUCUUGCUAAAAAAACCAUGUUAUGAAGAGAAAAAAAACAUGCACAAUUUUGGAAAGGGAAAAACAAAAAACGAAAUGGUUCCAAACUGAAUUGGCAGGAAAACAGGACGGGGCGGGAAGAAAAGGCGGGAGAUGGAGAAACCGGAGAGGGGAAGAUCUGCUCCGAUCUAAAAUCACACGGUAAUUGUAACAAACUGUGCAUUAGCGGGGAAUUCUGCAAUUGGAUUUUGAAUAGUCGGAUUUGAAAUCUUCCACCACCGUUUCGGAGAGAAACACAGGGGCAUUGCAGAUCCGGUCAAAUUCUGGCCGUCGAUGUGGCCUGGGUUCUCCUAACAUCGUCUAUCAACUGCCAUCGAGGGUUUCUAUUCAUAUACGAAGAGCAUGGUAUCUCUAAUGAUUUCCAUCCGAGAUGAAAGAUCACAUGUGAAUGCAAAAAGGUGUAAGUGAUCCGCAAGAACAAGAAGAUUGGUUUAUUAAAGAAAGAGAUCAAGAAACAUCCACGUUUAUGGUAGAAGACAUGUGAAUUUUGAGUAAGAGGCUUAUGAAGAAAUAGGAAUCACCCAUUGAAGAUGAGGAAGAUUGGUCACAGAGGCAUCUUAAAUAAUUCGUCCCAUACCUAAAAAACAGUGAAUAUAUAUAUAUAUAUAUAUAUAUAUAUAUAUAUAUAUAUAUAUAUAUAUAUAUAUAUAUAUAUCUUAUAUUAUAUUAUCAUAUCCGGGUUAUUUUACAAAAUUGAGACUUAGAAUUGUAUGGUGGUGACCUAGAACGAAAAUUUGGUCAUCGUCACACUUUUGAAGUAAUUUUAAACCUGUCCAAUUUUGAUUCUUAGCUUUUUGAAACGACCUGUCCCUACCAUUUCUAUCUUUAUUCCACUGAGAAAAAGGGACUUUCUUUUGACAAA